This 3743-nucleotide long non-coding RNA is filed under the name Xyrichtys novacula (pearly razorfish). The record is from RNAcentral. Lineage: Eukaryota; Metazoa; Chordata; Actinopteri; Labriformes; Labridae.
AUUGGAAUUUCGCUAACUCCUCCGAAGGCUUUCUUUCCACCGGCACCACAUUUGCUCAGGCCAAUCUACACCCCAUGGCCAUUAAAAGUUAUUCAAAUCAUGACGCUGCACCCCACGGUUUAGGUUCUAGGGGGCGCCAAAGAUAACCCGAAAAUCCACAUAUUUCAAAGUCUUAUAACUUUUUAUUUUUACCCUCACUGGCCUCCAAGUUUUCUAGGAUGAUGCAAUGUCCAGCCAUCAACACAUUUGUGAAGGAUUUUUUACUCCCCAAAAGAGCGCCCCCCCAUGGCCGGAGAAAAAAGUCCAUUUUUUCUUGUCCCCUAAGGUGAAAAUACACAUUGUUGAGUGUCACGCCUGUACGCUUUGUCAUAUUGACACAAAAUUUGACACACACAUGUAUCUCAAUAAGAUCUACGAAAAAGUCAAUGCGCGCGUAUCUGUCAAAUGUACGGUUAAAGGGUUAUUCUGCAUUUUUUGCUGAUCCGCACACAUUGGAAUUUCGCUAACUCCUCCUAAGGCUGGCGUUCCACCGGCACCACAUUUGCUCAGGCCAAUCUACACCCCAUGGCCAUUAAAAGUUAUUCAAAUCAUGACGCUGCACCCCACGGUUUAGGUUCUAGGGGGCGCCAAAGAUAACCCUAAAAUCCACAUAUUUCAAAGUCUUAUAACUUUUUCUUUUUGUCCUCACUGGCCUCCAAGUUUUCUAGGAUGAUGCAAUGUCCAGCCAUCAACACAUUUGUGAAGGAAUUUUUACUCCCUAAAAGAGCGCCCCCCAUGGCAGGAGAAAAAAGUCAAUUUUUUCUUGUCCCGUAAGGUGAAAAUUCACAUUGUUGAGUGUGACACCUGUACGCUUUGUCAUAUUGACACAAAAUUUGACAAUCACGUGUAUCUCAAUAAGAUCUACGAAAAAGUCAAUGGGUGCGUAUCUGUCAAAUGUACGGUUAGAGGGCUAUUUUGCAUUUUUUGCCGAUUCGCACACAUUGGAAUGUGGCUAACUCCUCCUAAGGCUUUCGUCCCACUGAAACUAAAUUUGCUCAGGCCAAUCUACACCCCAUGGCCAUUCAAAGUUGUAAAAAUCAUGACGCUGCACCCCACGGUUUACGUUCUAGGGGGCGCCAAAGAUGACCAAAAAAUCCACAUUCUUAAAAGAAUCCACAUUCUCCCCCCCCCAUGGCAGGAGAAAAAGUCAAGUUUUUCCUGCCCAUCGCUCAAUGGCUCAAUCGCAUCGCUCUCCAGGCAACACCGUAUCCAGGAGCAACCUGCCAUUUGGAUAUAUCCCAGCUGUGUUUGUGCCCUCACUCAUGGUCCAGACUUUUUUCAAAUAGGACAUGAAGUUUGUCUGCAGCGAGUGUUUUGGUAGAAACUGCGCCUCCCAUUCAUUAUAAUGGGAAAUGACCACAGACAAGUGCGCACACCAUCUUUGGACCUUGAGUGUGACGCGAUCGGGAGGGGGAGGCGGUCACGCUGGGGGCGGCACAACGCGGCUCGGGCCCGACAGUGCCCCACCGGGGCCCUAGUUAUUAUUAUUAUUAUUUUUCCUCCCCUUUGAACUGGAAAAUGGCCCACUUCCCACUGGCGAAAACUCAUGAAAUUUGGCAGGACGACCGGGCCUGGUGAAAAAUUUGAUAUUCCGAAGUCGCCCAAACAAGAAAAUGCAAAAUGGCUCCAUAGCGCCCCCUAAGGUGAAAAUUCACACUAUUGACUGUCACGCCUGUACGCUUUGUCAAAAUGACACAAAAAUUGACACACACAUGUAUCUCAAUAAGAUCUACGAAAAAGUCAGUGCGGGCGUAUCUGUCAAAUGUACGGUUAAAGGGUUAUUUCGCAUUUUUUGCCGAUCCGCACACAUUGGAAUUUCGCUAACUCCUCCGAAGGCUUUCAUUCCACCGGCACCACAUUUGCUCAGGCCAAUCUACACCCCAUGGCCAUUAAAAGUUAUUCAAAUCAUGACGCUGCACCCCACGGUUUAGGUUCUAGGGGGCGCCAAAGAUAACCCUAAGAUCCACAUAUUUAAAAGUCUUAUAACUUUUUAUUUUUGCCCUCACUGGCCUCCAAGUUUUCUAGGAUGAUGCAAUGUCCAGCCAUCAACACAUUUGUGAAGGAAUUUUUACUCCCCAAAAGAGCGCCCCCCCAUGGCAGGAGAAAAAAGUCCAUUUUUUCUUGUCCCCAAAGGUGAAAAUACACAUUGUUGAGUGUAACACCUGUACGCUUUGGCAAAAUGACACAAAAAUUGACACACACAUGUAUCUCAAUAAGAUCUACGAAAAAGUCAAUGCGCGCGUAUCUGUCAAAUGUACGGUUAAAGGGUUAUUCCGCAUUUUUUGCCGAUCCGCACACAUUGGAAUUUCGCUAACUCCUCCGAAGGCUUUCGUUCCACCGGCACCACAUUUGCUCAGGCCAAUCUACACCCCAUGGCCAUUAAAAGUUAUUCAAAUCAUGACGCUGCACCCCACGGUUUAGGUUCUAGGGGGAGCCAAAGAUAACCGUAAAAUCCACAUAUUUAAAAGUCUUAUAACUUUUUAUUUUUGUCCCCACUGGCCUCCAAGUUUUCUAGGAUGAUGCAAUGUCCAGCCAUCAACACAUUUGUGAAGGAAUUUUUACUCGGCAAAAGAGCGCCCCCCAUGGCAGGAGAAAAAAGUCAAUUUUUUCUUGUCCACUAAGGUGAAAAUACACAUUGUUGAGUGCUACGCCUGUAUGUUUUGUCGUAUUGACACAAAAUUUUACAUACACGUGUAUUUCAAUAAGAUCUUCGAAAAAGUCAAUGGCCACGUAUCUGUAAAAUGUACGGUUGAAGGGUUAUUUCGCAUUUUUUGCAGAUUCGCACACAUUGGAAUUUCGCUAAUUCCUCCGAAGGCUUUCGUUCCACCGGCACCACAUUUGCUCAGGCCAAUCUACACCCCAUGGCCAUUAAAAGUUAUUCAAAUCAUGACGCUGCACCCCACGGUUUAGGUUCUAGGGGGCGCCAAAGAUAACCCUAAAAUCCACAUAUUUAAAAGUCUUAUAACUUUUUAGGGCCCGAGCGUAGCUGCUAAGCAGCUGCGAGAGCCCUCUUGUUCCUGAUGGAUUCUUCUUUUGUUAGGGCCCGAGCGUAGCUGCUAAGCAGCUGCGAGAGCCCUAUUAUUCCUGAUGGAUUCUUCUUUCUUCUUCUUCUUCUUAUUAUUUUUCUGCCCCUUUGAACUGGAAAAUGGCCCACUUCCCACUGGUGAAAAGUCAUGAAAUUUGGCAGGACGACCGGGCCUGGUGAAAAAUUCGAUAUUCUGAAGUCGCCCAAAAAAUCAAAUGCAAAAUGGCUCCAUAGCGCCCCCUAAGGUGAAAAAUUCACAUGAUUGAGUGUCACGCCUGUACGCUUUGUCAAAAUGACACAAAAUUUGACACACACGUGUAUCUCAAUAAGAUCUACAAAAAAGUCAGUGCGGGCGUAUCUGUCAAAUGUACGGUUAAAGGGCUAUUUCGCAUUUUUUGCCGAUCCGCACACAUUGGAAUUUCGCUAACUCCUCCGAAGGCUUUCGUUCCACCGGCACCAAAUUUGCUCAGGCCAAUCUACACCCCAUGGCCAUUAAAAGUUGUACAAAUCAUGACGCUGCAUCCCACGGUUUACGUUCUAGGGGGCGCCAAAGAUAACCCAGAAAUCCACAUUCUUAAAAGUCGUAUAACUUUUUAUUUUUGUCCUCACUGGCCUCCAAGUUUUCUAGGAUGAUGCAAUGUCUAGCCAUCAACACAUUUGUGAAGGAAUUUUUACUCCC